AGUGAACGCUGGCGGUAGGCCUAACACAUGCAAGUCGAACGGCAGCACAGUAAGAGCUUGCUCUUACGGGUUGCGAGUGGCGGACGGGUGAGGAAUACAUCGGAAUCUACUUUUUCGUGGGGGAUAACGUAGGGAAACUUACGCUAAUACCUCAUACUACCUACGGUUGAAAGCAGUGGAUCUUCGGACCUUGCGCGAUUGAAUGAGCCGAUGUCGGAUUAGCUAGUUGGCGGGGUAAUGGCCCACCAAGGCGACGAUCCGUAGCUGGUCGGAGAGGAUGAUCGGCGACACUGGAACGGAGACACGGUCAAGACGACUACGGGAGGGAGCAGUGUGGAAUAUUGGACAAUGGGCGCAAGCCUGAUACAGCCAUACCGCGUGGGAGAAGAAGGCCUUCGGGUUGGAAAGCCCUUUUGUUGGGAAAGAAAAGCAGCAGGUUAAGACCCCGCUGUUCUGACGGUACCCAAAGAAUAAGCACCGGCUAACUUCGUG
RNAcentral lists this ribosomal RNA (492 nucleotides) under uncultured bacterium. RNAcentral's name for it is "partial 16S ribosomal RNA". It matches the Rfam family "Bacterial small subunit ribosomal RNA", at positions 29 to 507 of the family's 1533-position model. The record is from RNAcentral.